UCCAAUGUUGCUGGACUUCUACUGUUGC
RNAcentral lists this non-coding RNA (28 nucleotides) under Rattus norvegicus (Norway rat). Lineage: Eukaryota; Metazoa; Chordata; Mammalia; Rodentia; Muridae. The record is from RNAcentral.